Molecule: non-coding RNA, 24 nt
Filed under: Arabidopsis thaliana (thale cress)
Lineage: Eukaryota; Viridiplantae; Streptophyta; Magnoliopsida; Brassicales; Brassicaceae
Source: RNAcentral
CUGUAAUUGGUCGCUGAAUCCAGC